ACUGGAGUCAAGGCCAAGGAGCUUCUCAUCUGGGUCAGUGUCAGUGAGAUCUAUACAGAGGAGAAAGAGAAGAUCACGUUCAAGUCACCAACCACACUGUCCAGGACUUUCCCUGUCCCAGCUUUUAUUGUCCCAGAGGAAGUGGAACCUGCCAAGGAAGAACCUGUCAAGGAGAAGAGCAGUGAAGCCGCCGAGGUUACGGAGGCUGUUGCAGUCAAGGAGGCCUAAUCAAGCCGAGAGUUAGUAGUGUUUCUCACUGCUCUUACGCUCAUGUAUUACCUACCACUCGUUUCUGCUUCUUUUACUACCUGUAAUAAGAUGUCACCAACAUCCUCCUGUUAUACAAAAAAAUACCGAAAUUAUCUAUAAACUACAUUAAAGCUGGUUAUGUAUGUGACUUCAAGAACACUGGAAACAUAUUAGCAAGCCAAAGUGAAAGCUACAUCGAGAUCUUUUCAAAAUGUUUUACAACCUCAAAAAGUUUCCCUCACGUGUUAAAUCGUGUGCAUACCCACUUACAUGGCGUACUGCUUAUUCUUUACUAUGUAUAGCAACAUCGUUCAUAUGCACUGGCUAUAGUUACUUACCCGCUGCUCGAUAAGAAGUUACAGCGUAGCUUCACUCUAUAUUUCAAUUACAUUGAUUGAGGUUUUGAAUCAUUUUCUUUCAAGUAAUUGCUCAACUGAAAUAUUGAUCGAGGUUUUGAAUCAUUUUCUUUCACGUAGUUGCUCAACUGAAUUCAUCAGACGAGGAUCUUGAAGAUGAAGGUUGCAUCGAAAUCAUAAAGAAACGUAAAUUUUCUGAAGCUAAACAUACGCCAUAGGAGAUACAAAAAUGUUAUAUAGGGUAAAAUCGAAAAUGUCAAAUACAUGUAAAAGAGAAUAUAAUAAACCUCUUUCUUAAUCCCUUGCAAAAUAUUAUAUUGGUAAAACGAAUCAGUAAAAAAAACAUGGUGUGGCUUAUGGCAAAUCUUCUUUAUACACUGCCUUUUGCUCACUAAAACAUGUUCUUCUUUUCAGACAAGGGUAAAGGCAGAUUGUACCGUGGACUGGAACCGUGAUGCGAUUGUCUGUGAGGCAAACUGCUGAAACUGUUUCUUUGCAUCUGCCAACAAAUAAAAAGUGUUAAGUCUAAUGAUCUAUAGCCCAUUUGACUAUUAUAAGGGCUAUACUGGAAUGGAUCUUACCUUUCUUGCACUUUGUGAAGCCGAUGAUAUUAGCCGCGUUAAGGGACAAGCAAACGCCGACAACAAGCAGAUAGUCGGCCUGAAACCUUAUCAGUGAAAAUAUCCCAAGGACUAACCACGCAGCUGCCUGAAGAUAGGACAAACAAAAAACAAGAUUCAGCUGCGGUAAAAGACAGCAUAAUGUUUUCACAAGUUUGUAAUUGCUGACGCUAGAACACUAAACCCAUUGCUACCACCAUCUCAAGGCUCAUUCUUACUCUCUAUAGGUCGCCUUGUAAUGCAACUGAGCCUAUAGGGUUUUAAGCUACCAACUAUUAGUCAAUCUGAUAAUGCAGGAUCAUAGGAUAUACUAAUGCAAUUUCAACAUGCACAAUAACAGUGGUCAACUUUUAGUCCCCCAGAUUACUUCUCCCUAAUCUCCCUAUUUUGCAAUGUGUAUGCGGGUGAUUGACUCAAAUGUCAAUUGCCACUAACUCAGAAGGAGAAUCGUUUGUCACAAACUCAUAGAUAAAAACUCAUUUAAACGUUAGCUUGUUGGUGGGAUGAGAGAAGUCAGCGAUCUAUAUAUGGUUAGUGUGGGAUACUAAAAGACAGCUUCGAAAUUCGUCUCACCGUUUGCAAAACAUUUGCUUCAUCAUUAGGGUCAUGUUCAUUCUUUCCUAUUCUUACUUCUACUCCUCCACUAAAGUUCCGGUGAGUGAAAAGUGACAAGCUCAUAGGCAAGUAAGCAUAGAUAGGAACAACUAGUUGAAACAUUUGGGGUCGUGUUCAUUAUUGCCCGUUCUUACUACUAAUCCUAAUGCUCCACAAAAGUUUCAGGUGCAUUGCAAACAGGUUUAAGCGAUAAGCUACAAACUGUAGUCAAAGAUAGGAACUACUCACUGCAAGGUAAAGCGUCCACCAGAAAAGCCAGGAGUCUUUCUUGUUCAUCCGAGCCAAGGACUGAUACACAGACAAACGAAAUAAAUGAGGUAAAAACUAGUAAGAAUUUUUUGCUUAAUGAAUAAAGUAAAAAGUAAAAGCAUUAAGCAAAAAAGAGAGGGCUAACCUCCUGGUCAAGAGACUCAAACUUCCAGACACUUUCACCCAAGUCAUUGAUCUCGUUCCACCACCUGAGACCAACAAGUAUACGCCCACUCACAUUCUUAACCACCCAGAAGUCAAGUGCCGCGAGAAGAACAGUCACCACAAAGAUAAUAACAAAGCUGUUGAAGAAGAGAGCCGAGAGAAUGUAAAACGCCAACGCAGCACCCUGCCCCCAAAAACAAACUUGUUACCAUUCUCCACCUCACUUAUAAAAAAAAGUCUAAAAAGACUCAUACUCAGGCUCAUCAUACCUUGAAGAGAACAUGGAAGAGACACGUCUUCGGAUUCGCAUAGUUUUCAACUGGUGGCUGCAUUGAAUUAACAACGAGAAUAAUCACAUCUGAGUCUAAUUAAACCGAUUCUUAACAUAGCAUUUCUAUCUAGCUCAAGCCUUCCAAAUUCUAAUGUCUACACACACAUUCUCCUCCGAGACGAAUUCGAAGAGCACAGAUCUAACACAAUCACGUCCAGAUCGAGCAGCUAAUCGAGCUUAAUCAAGAAUCGGAUAAGCAAUCUAGCUCAGAAAUUAAUCAUUCACCUGGUUAGGAUCCAUCUUUCGAAGUAUCCGAAUGUAUCAACCCCGACGCCGAUCAGAAGAUGGAAUCCUAAUACUGAUCUUCCCUCCGAGAAAAUUAUCUUCGUUCGGUACCAGCAGAUCUUCAAACUCUUGCGCGUGUUUUCUUAGCGUUUUAAUUCUAAUCUAUAGGCCCAAGUGAGUGUCCUUUAUAGCCCAUUAGGCCCAAUAUAAAAGGUUGGGUUAAGAAUCUAGUACAAAUAUCAAUGCCUUAACACACACGUAACAAGAUUUCACUAAUGUCAAACCCUAAAAGAGACCUAACAUAGUUUGUUUUUCUUUCUUGCUUCACCAUCUGGCUGAAAAUCUAGUAUAGAUAUAGGUUCCUUAGUACGCACAUAAAGAUCUAACACUUUCAAACCCUAAAAAACAGAAUCUAGUACAAACUGUCUUUUCACCUACAUUUUUGGCUACAAUAUCUCGUUUUCAGGUUACAUUGUUCACAACAAUAAUUGUUGUGUGUUGAUGAUUGCCAUAGUCACCCAUAACCUGCUCAACCAUGCCCAUUAAUGCAUUUUACAUGCACCGUAUACCACACAACCUAUAUAUAACAAGGUUAAGUCGCCUCUUAUCACAACACACAACUUCAGCUUUGAGGUAAAGCUUAAACUAAAAAAACAGAGCAGAGAUGGGUUUGGUCACACAGGAGGUGAGAGCUAAGGCAGAGAAGUACACCGGAGAUGAGAUAUGCCGAGAGAAGACAAAAGUCUUCCUCAAGGAAAUAUCUAUGCCUAAUGGUUUACUACCGUUGAAGGACAUUGAAGAGGUAGAACUGGAGAAUCUUAUGUAACUUGAUUUGUCUGUACAGUCUUAUAUUAUGGGUCAAAAAAUUUAAUUACAUGUUUGGUUGCGUUCCUCACGUUAUUCAAGCAUGAUGUUUGAUAUUUAUAUGUUCCAGGUUAAGCCUGCCCUGCCAGUUCUUCGGCAACUUAUCUAUCUAAAUGAUGAAGAAGUUCUCACAGAUGCCUGCUGGGCUCUAUCUUACCUUUCAGAUGGCCCCAAUGAUAAGAUCCAAGCUGUGAUCCAGGCUGGUGUUUGUCCACUACUUGUGGAGCUUCUGAGGUUAGCUCAAUUUUGCUAUAUUAUUGCUAUAUUAGCUGGUCUUGUAGUUUUGUUCUUCAGAUUCUUAUCCCCCAACAAUGGUGUUUGACAUUUUCAAAUUUGUGAUGUUUUUAAUACCUCUUAGAAAUUGAGUGUUAGUGUACUGACUAAUAUAUAUAUAUAUAUAUAUAUUUCUUCAAGUCAUCCAUCACCUACGGUUCUCAUUCCUGCGCUUCGAACUGUUGGGAACAUUGUAACUGGUGAUGACUCUCAGACACUGGUAUGAUCUGUGAAGAAUGUUUCUAUAUAAUGUUUGAUUGUUUUGUUUAACAUUUUGACAGCAGCUGUGUUUUUGCUUUUCAGUUUAUAAUUGAUAGUGGAGCUUCUGAGGUUAGUUCCUUUCCGAGGAUGGACUUGUAACAAAAAAUGGUGGUUAAGAAGGUAGUUAAGGAGAUUUACCAACCAGUUUUAUAAGGAUUGUUAGCUACGCUCAAAUGUUUAGAGUAUAUAUAUAUGGUGCAUCUCUCUUUUAAGUUUCAUAUCUGAAAACCAUUUUCAAACAAAGAAUGAGUACUCCUCUCACAUCUUCCUAAGUUUAAAGGUUAUAACAGUUGAGCUGUUACUUCGAAACAAUAUAUUUGAGAUGUCAUGCAUAAUGAUAAAACUUGAAAUAAUAAUAAGAUUUGAUUUGAUUUGAUUGGACCAAGUUUAUAGUGAAACAGUACCAAGGCAUCAAGUUUCAAGAUAGUAAGGUGACAAAUCACAAUCAGUAAGUUAGACGUUGGAACUCUUGUAAUUAUGUGAACUACAAUGUUUACUUGAAUUCUAAAGAUAUUAUUCAAUUCGAUUUAUACCAAAAAUAAUUGAGGACACAACGGUUACUGGUUAGCUGUUGAAGAAAAGGUGAGUUGAUAGGCCCUGCAUUUACACGCAGAGGGCCAUGCAUGCACCAUCUAUCAUAUAACAAGUAACAACAAUAAUUGCUAUCACUAUUGUCUGAUGAUGAUUACUAUAGUCACCCAUAGACCUGCCCAACCAUGUCCAUUAAUGCUUUCUCCAUGUACCGCAUACCACACAACCUAUAUAUAACAAGGUUAAGUCGCCUCUUACCACAACACACAACUUCAGCUUUGAGGUAAAGCGUAAACUUUAAAAGAAAAACAGAACAGAGAUGGGUUUGGUCACAGAGGAGGUGAGAGCUAAGGCAGAGAAGUACACCGGAGAUGAGAUAUGCCGAGAGAAAACAAAAGUCUUCCUCAAGGAAAUAUCUAUGCCCAAUGGCUUACUACCGUUGAAGGACAUUGAAGAGGUUGGGUACGACAGAGAGUCAGGUGUUGUGUGGCUGAAGCAGAAACAGAGCAUCACCCACAAGUUCGAAACGAUCGAUAAGCUUGUCUCCUACGGAACCGAGGUCACUGCCGUUGUCCAGACGGGUAAGAUCAAGAAGCUCACUGGAGUCAAGGCCAAGGAGCUUCUCAUCUGGGUCAGUGUCAGUGAGAUCUAUACAGAGGAGAAAGAGAAGAUCACGUUCAAGUCACCAACCACACUGUCCAGGACUUUCCCUGUCCCAGCUUUUAUUGUCCCAGAGGAAGUGGAACCUGCCAAGGAAGAACCUGUCAAGGAGAAGAGCAGUGAAGCCGCCGAGGUUACGGAGGCUGUUGCAGUCAAGGAGGCCUAAUCAAGCCGAGAGUUAGUAGUGUUUCUCACUGCUCUUACGCUCAUGUAUUACCUACCACUCGUUUCUGCUUCUUUUACUACCUGUAAUAAGAUGUCACCAACAUCCUCCUGUUAUACAAAAAAAUACCGAAAUUAUCUAUAAACUACAUUAAAGCUGGUUAUGUAUGUGACUUCAAGAACACUGGAAACAUAUUAGCAAGCCAAAGUGAAAGCUACAUCGAGAUCUUUUCAAAAUGUUUUACAACCUCAAAAAGUUUCCCUCACGUGUUAAAUCGUGUGCAUACCCACUUACAUGGCGUACUGCUUAUUCUUUACUAUGUAUAGCAACAUCGUUCAUAUGCACUGGCUAUAGUUACUUAC
RNAcentral lists this long non-coding RNA (5924 nucleotides) under Brassica napus (rape). Its description in RNAcentral is "long non-coding RNA (BNAP_LNC021613)". Lineage: Eukaryota; Viridiplantae; Streptophyta; Magnoliopsida; Brassicales; Brassicaceae. The record is from RNAcentral.